ACUUAUUGAUGUGAGUUAUUAUAGAAAUAUUUAAUGAAUUUUUAUUGUAAGUUGUGAAAAAUUAAAUUGUUUGUUUAUUUAGUAUUAAGGGUAUAGAUGGAAUGUUUUUGAAGUACUGUGAAGGAUAAAAGUGUUUAAUUUUUUUAUAGUAGAUUAAUUGUUCGUACCUUUUGUAUAAUGGGUUGAUGAUAUAUUUAAUUUUUAUAUAGAUUAUUCUCGAAUUGAAAAGAUUUACUUAGUAUAUAAUAUGUUGACGUUGUAUAGUCAUAUAUUUAGUAUUAAGUGGUAGUGAUAUGUUUAUCGGUUUUCAUGAUAGCUAGUUUAUUGAUUUAGAAUAUUUAAGUAUUGUAGUAUUAAAAUAAUUUUGUUUAUUUAAUAUUAUUUAUAUCAUGAGGGAUAAGCUUCAUGUUAAUUAUAGAAAUGGUUGUAUUUAAUUAUAAUUAAAGUAGAGUUAAUAAUGCUUUUCUUUAUAAGUAGUUUAAAUAUUUUUUUUUGUUUUAUUUCAAGUAUAAUUAGUCAUAAAUAUUUAUAAAUUGAAUUUAAGUAGAUAUAAUGUUGAUAUGAGUAUUAUUUAAUUUUAUAAAUUUAAUUAUUUUAAUUAUAAAUAAGUAGAGUUUUUAUUAAAAUUAAGUAGGGUAAAGGAAUUCGGCAAGUAUUAAUCUCGCCUGUUUAUCAAAAACAUGUCUCUUUGUAUAUUUUAGAUAAGGAGUUGGGCCUGCUCGGUGAUUAAAUUUAACAGCUGCGGUAUUUUAACUGUACUAAGGUAGCAUAAUAGUUUGCCUUAUAAUUUGAGGCUGGAAUGAAUGGUUUGACGAAGGUUAAUCUGUCUCUAUCUUAUUUAAUAGAAAUUAAUUUUUAGAGUGAGAAAGCUUAAAUUUUUUAAAGGGACGAGAAGACCCUAUUGAGCUUAUAAUUUUAGUUUGUUAUGAUAAAUAGUAUUGGAUAAAUUUUAAUUGGGGUGAUUAAGGAAUAAAUAAAUGAGGUAGUAACUUCCUUGAAAAAUAAAUAUAUAGAUUUAUGAUUUAACCAAUUAAUAUAUUGCUUAAAAUAUAGUUACCAUAGGGAUAACAGCGUAAUUUAUUUAGAGAGUUCUUAUUGAAAAAUGAGAUUGCGACCUCGAUGUUGGAUUAAAGUAACCUUAAGGUGUAGAAGCUUUAAUAGGUAAAUCUGUUCGAUUUUUAAAACUUUACAUGAUCUGAGUUCAGACCGGCGUGAGCCAGGUUGGUUUCUAUCUUUUAAAAUAUUAAUAGUUUCUUUUAGUACGAAAGGACCAAGGAUUAACUGAAUUGUUAAUUAUAAUAUUGGUGUAUUAAAUAAAAUUAAUAUAGGUUAAUUAAUUAAUAUAAUUAGGUUACAUUAAUUACA
RNAcentral lists this ribosomal RNA (1365 nucleotides) under Euprymna morsei. Its description in RNAcentral is "16S ribosomal RNA". The stretch from base 878 to 1241 matches the Rfam family "Bacterial large subunit ribosomal RNA", at positions 2070 to 2650 of the family's 2925-position model. The record is from RNAcentral. Lineage: Eukaryota; Metazoa; Mollusca; Cephalopoda; Sepiida; Sepiolidae.